UGAGUAACACGUAUCCAACCUGCCGUCUACUCUUGGCCAGCCUUCUGAAAGGAAGAUUAAUCCAGGAUGGCAUCAUGAGUUCACAUGUCCGCAUGAUUAAAGGUAUUUUCCGGUAGACGAUGGGGAUGCGUUCCAUUAGAUAGUAGGCGGGGUAACGGCCCACCUAGUCAACGAUGGAUAGGGGUUCUGAGAGGAAGGUCCCCCACAUUGGAACUGAGACACGGUCCAG
This 229-nucleotide ribosomal RNA is filed under the name uncultured bacterium. RNAcentral describes it as "partial 16S ribosomal RNA". It matches the Rfam family "Bacterial small subunit ribosomal RNA", at positions 107 to 334 of the family's 1533-position model. The record is from RNAcentral.